RNAcentral lists this ribosomal RNA (106 nucleotides) under Caldanaerobacter subterraneus subsp. tengcongensis MB4. The record is from RNAcentral. Lineage: Bacteria; Bacillati; Bacillota; Clostridia; Thermoanaerobacterales; Thermoanaerobacteraceae.
GGUGGCGAUAGCGGAGGGGAAACACCCGUUCCCAUUCCGAACACGGAAGUUAAGCCCUCCAGCGCCGAUGGUACUGCAUAAGCGGGAGAGUAGGUCGCUGCCGGAA